RNAcentral lists this long non-coding RNA (439 nucleotides) under Capsicum annuum. RNAcentral describes it as "long non-coding RNA (CANN_LNC011666)". The record is from RNAcentral. Lineage: Eukaryota; Viridiplantae; Streptophyta; Magnoliopsida; Solanales; Solanaceae.
GAAAGACGGAGAUUGAAAACAACUUGUUUUUCUCCACUUCUGCUUCAACUACAAAGAGAACAUAGAUUAAUGGGAGUAAAAAAAAACUAUUAAUAAAAACCAGAAAGGUAAUAGCUUACACGGAUCUACGGAGCUGAUAUACAACGUUCACACACUUUAUCGAGUUUCAGGUAAAUUCAUGGACCUUCACCAGAUUUCAUACCUUUAAGCGAAAGAACUCAUGAAAUAGAGGAGAGAUUACAAAACAAAAGCAAAAGAAGAACACUUUUUACUUAUGCAAGCUGAGCAGGAAGAAGAUGCACACAAGCUGAUGAAGGUAAUUCAUCACCCACAACAAGAUCAAAUGGAGAUGAAGAUUGCAAAGGACCAAUAUAGACAUCCUCAGCGGUGAAAAAAGCGGAUGGAUAAAGAGCAAGAGGAUCAAUUAGGAAACAUUAGG